This 538-nucleotide ribosomal RNA is filed under the name uncultured archaeon. RNAcentral describes it as "bacterial SSU rRNA". It matches the Rfam family "Archaeal small subunit ribosomal RNA", at positions 50 to 592 of the family's 1478-position model. The record is from RNAcentral.
CAUGACGAGUCGAGAGGGUUCGGCCCUCGGCAGACGGCUCAGUAACACGUGGAUAAUCUACCCUUAGGUGGAGGAUAACCUCGGGAAACUGAGAAUAAUACUCCAUAGGUCUAGAAUGCUGGAAUGCAUCUAGGCUGAAAGUUCUGGCGCCUAAGGAUGAGUCUGCGGACUAUCAGGUAGUAGUCAGGGUAAUGACCUGACUAGCCUACGACGGAUACGGGUUGUGAGAGCAAUUGCCCGGAGACGAUAUCUGAGACACGAUAUCGGGCCCUACGGGGCGCAGCAGGCGCGAAACCUUCACACUGUGCGAGAGCACGAUGAGGGGAUCCCAAGUGCUAGCUCGUAAGAGUUAGCUGUUUCUUUGUCUAAAAAACAGAGAGAGUAAGGGCUGGGUAAGACGGGUGCCAGCCGCCGCGGUAAUACCUGCAGCUCAAGUGGUGGCCGCUAUUAUUGGGCCUAAAACGUUCGUAGCCGGUUUAGUAAAUGCUUGGGUAAAUUGUGUCGCUUAACGAUACGAAUACCGGGUAGACUGCUAAAC